This 467-nucleotide ribosomal RNA is filed under the name uncultured bacterium. RNAcentral's name for it is "partial 16S ribosomal RNA". It matches the Rfam family "Bacterial small subunit ribosomal RNA", at positions 28 to 506 of the family's 1533-position model. The record is from RNAcentral.
GACGAACGCUGGCGGCGUGCUUAACACAUGCAAGUCGAACGGAAGGGCCCUGCUUUUGUGGGGUGCUCGAGUGGCGAACGGGUGAGUAACACGUGAGUAACCUGCCCUUGACUUUGGGAUAACUUCAGGAAACUGGGGCUAAUACCGGAUAGGAGCUCCUGCUGCAUGGUGGGGGUUGGAAAGUUUCGGCGGUUGGGGAUGGACUCGCGGCUUAUCAGCUUGUUGGUGGGGUAGUGGCUUACCAAGGCUUUGACGGGUAGCCGGCCUGAGAGGGUGACCGGCCACAUUGGGACUGAGAUACGGCCCAGACGCCUACGGGAGGCAGCAGUGGGGAAUAUGGCACAAUGGGCGGAAGCCUGAUGCAGCAACGCCGCGUGCGGGAUGACGGCCUUCGGGUUGUAAACCGCUUUCGCCUGUGACGAAGCGUGAGUGACGGUAAUGGGUAAAGAAGCACCGGCUAACUACGU